Molecule: ribosomal RNA, 945 nt
Filed under: uncultured fungus
Lineage: Eukaryota; Fungi
Description: eukaryotic LSU rRNA
Rfam family: Eukaryotic large subunit ribosomal RNA (bases 613-945)
Source: RNAcentral
GGAAGGAUCAUUAUUGAAAUAAACCUGAUGGGUUGCUGCUGGUUCUCUAGGGAGCAUGUGCACACUUGUCAUCUUUAUAUCUCCACCUGUGCACCUUUUGUAGACCUGGAUAUCUUUCUGAAUGCCUAGCAUUUGGGUUUGAGGAUUGACUUUACCGUCUUUCCUUACAUUUUCAGGCCUAUGUUUUUUCAUAUACCCCAAUGUAUGUUAUAGAAUGUAAUAAACGGGCCUUUGUGCCUAUAAACCUAUACAACUUUCAGCAACGGAUCUCUUGGCUCUCGCAUCGAUGAAGAACGCAGCGAAAUGCGAUAAGUAAUGUGAAUUGCAGAAUUCAGUGAAUCAUCGAAUCUUUGAACGCACCUUGCGCUCCUUGGUAUUCCGAGGAGCAUGCCUGUUUGAGUGUCAUUAAUAUAUCAACCUCUUUAGCUUUUGCUUGUUGAGUGUUGGAUGUGGGGGUACGUUUUGCUGGCCUCUCUUUCUGAGGUCUGCUCCCCUGAAAUGCAUUAGCGGAACAAUUUGUUGACCGUUCAUUGGUGUGAUAACUAUCUACGCUAUUGACGUGAAGCAUUCCGCUUCUAAUAGUCCAUUGACUUGGACAAUUUUUCAUUAAUGUGACCUCAAAUCAGGUAGGACUACCCGCUGAACUUAAGCAUAUCAAUAAGCGGAGGAAAAGAAACUAACAAGGAUUCCCCUAGUAACUGCGAGUGAAGCGGGAAAAGCUCAAAUUUAAAAUCUGAUAGUCUUUGGCUGUCCGAGUUGUAAUCUAGAGAAGUGUUAUCCGCGCUGGACCGUGUACAAGUCUCCUGGAAUGGAGCGUCAUAGAGGGUGAGAAUCCCGUCUUUGACACGGACUGCCAGGGCUUUGUGAUGCGCUCUCAAAGAGUCGAGUUGUUUGGGAAUGCAGCUCAAAAUGGGUGGUAAAUUCCAUCUAAAGCUAAAUAUUGGC